Molecule: ribosomal RNA, 708 nt
Filed under: uncultured bacterium
Lineage: Bacteria
Description: bacterial SSU rRNA
Rfam family: Bacterial small subunit ribosomal RNA
Source: RNAcentral
UGCCCUAGAGUGGGGGACAACAGUUGGAAACGACUGCUAAUACCGCAUAAGCCCACGGUGCCGCAUGACACUGAGGGAAAAGGAUUUAUUCGCUUUAGGAUGGACUCGCGUCCAAUUAGCUAGUUGGUGAGGUAACGGCCCACCAAGGCGACGAUUGGUAGCCGGACUGAGAGGUUGAACGGCCACAUUGGGACUGAGACACGGCCCAGACUCCUACGGGAGGCAGCAGUGGGGGAUAUUGCACAAUGGGGGAAACCCUGAUGCAGCGACGCCGCGUGGAGGAAGAAGGUUUUCGGAUUGUAAACUCCUGUCGUUAGGGACGAUAAUGACGGUACCUAACAAGAAAGCACCGGCUAACUACGUGCCAGCAGCCGCGGUAAAACGUAGGGUGCAAGCGUUGUCCGGAAUUACUGGGUGUAAAGGGAGCGCAGGCGGGAAGACAAGUUGGAAGUGAAAACCAUGGGCUCAACCCAUGAAUUGCUUUCAAAACUGUUUUUCUUGAGUAGUGCAGAGGUAGAUGGAAUUCCCGGUGUAGCGGUGGAAUGCGUAGAUAUCGGGAGGAACACCAGUGGCGAAGGCGGUCUACUGGGCACCAACUGACGCUGAGGCUCGAAAGCAUGGGUAGCAAACAGGAUUAGAUACCCUGGUAGUCCAUGCCGUAAACGAUGAUUACUAGGUGUUGGGGGAUUGACCCCCUCAGUGCCGCAG